AAAUAUUUGUUUUUGUGUUUUACCUGUAUGUUCAGACUCUAUGGAAUAGUCUGUUUGUUGUUGUAUGUGAUCUUAUGCGUUUGAUAUUUCAUAGCCAAGGGCUAGUUCAAGGACUGCAAGAAAUAGAUAAACUGAAAUCUCAGGUACAAGAUGUGCACGUGCCGCUGGAGGUCUUUGACUAUAUUGACCAAGGGCGAAACCCACAG
Long non-coding RNA from Bacillus rossius redtenbacheri, 206 nucleotides. RefSeq lists it as uncharacterized. The transcript has 3 exons. The record is from RefSeq and is a predicted model, not a curated record. Lineage: Eukaryota; Metazoa; Arthropoda; Insecta; Phasmatodea; Bacillidae.